Molecule: RNA transcript, 1711 nt
Organism: Manis pentadactyla (Chinese pangolin)
Lineage: Eukaryota; Metazoa; Chordata; Mammalia; Pholidota; Manidae
Gene: ECHDC2
Gene name: enoyl-CoA hydratase domain containing 2
Exons: 11
Source: RefSeq, a predicted model, not a curated record
GGAGCUGGGCCUUCCCCCACCCCGCCAAGUCUCGCGGUCUCCGCAGGCGCGGAGAGCACGAGCCUCUCGCCCCUAGCGGAGCAGCUGCGAGCUUUCAGCGGGACAGCAGGUGGUGGACACCAGCCGCCCCUUCCCAGCCUGCGCCCCGAUGCUGCGCGCCCUGACCCUGCGCCUGCCAGGCCCCUGGAGGCGCCCCCCAACCCGCGGCUGCGCCUCGGGCGCGGCGGCCGGGGACCCGGAGAUCCAAGUGCGCGCCCUGGCCGCCGCAGACCAAGGAAUCACUGAGAUUCUGAUGAACAGACCGAGUGCCUGCAAUGCCCUGGGGAAUGUCUUGGUCAGCCAGCUGCUAGAAGCUCUGGCCCAGCUUCGGGAGGACCGGCAAGUGCGUGUCCUGCUCUUCAGAAGUGGAGUGAAGGGUGUAUUCUGUGCAGGUGCAGACCUGAAGGAGCGGGAGCAGAUGAGUGAGGCGGAGGUAGGGGUCUUCGUACACCGGCUCCGAGGCUUGAUGAAUGAGAUUGCGGCCUUCCCUGCGCCCACCAUUGCAGCUAUGGAUGGGUUUGCCUUGGGUGGAGGCCUGGAACUUGCCCUGGCCUGUGAUCUCCGAGUGGCAGCAGCUUCCUCAGCUGUCAUGGGGCUGAUUGAGACCACCAGAGGGCUCCUCCCAGGAGCAGGAGGGACUCAGAGGCUGCCUCGAUGCCUGGGGGUGGCCCUGGCAAAGGAACUCAUCUUCACUGGUCGACGCCUGAGUGGGGCGCAGGCCCAGGCCCUGGGGCUGGUGAACCAUGCUGUGGCCCCGAAUAAGGAGGGCGACGCUGCCUACCACCGGGCACUGGCACUGGCCCAGGAGAUCCUGCCCCAGGCCCCCAUUGCUGUGCGGCUGGGCAAAGUAGCCAUUGACCGAGGAAUAGAGACCUGAGCUGGGAACUGGAACACAGAGAUGAGUCAGACAUGGUCAUCACCCCCAGUUUGGGGAAGGGGACAGAGAGACACACAAAUCACUAAUAAAAGGUGGACAUUGCAUCAGGGAUGGCCAUUGAAGGGAUAUGCUACGCCCAGAAUAUUCCCACCCGGGACCGACUAGAGGGCAUGGCAGCCUUCAGGGAGAAGCGGCCCCCCCAAUUUCUUGGCGAGUGACUCCCACUUAACUUUAAGCAUGAAGAUGCGUGUCUGAAAGGGCAAGAUCUAGAAGGAAAAUUUGAGUGUGACUAUCCUCAUCAUCUCACCUCUCUGGGCUUCAGUUUCCUCACAAGGACAAUGAUGGGUAUAAAAUGACUGGCAUGGUGCCUGGUACUAAGGUGCUGACCCUGCCACCCACUGCUUCCUGUAUCAUUUCUCUCCCUGGCUGGACAGUCGCUGGGGAUGUAUUUGCUUUGGAGAAAACCUCUCUCUCCCUACUCUACUGAUAAACUAAGGAUUAAAAAACAGACUCUCUGGACCUUUGUAUGGCUGGCUCUCAGGCCUGACCUCUGCCUUUCAGUUAGCAGGUGCUCACCAGAGAUGGCGGGAGGUUAUACAAAUGUCCUGAUUGCUUUCCUGUACAGUAGAGAUAAUAAGGACACCCUGGUAGUAGUUGAACAGGCAUCAGGAAUGAGACUGCAGAUCCCAGCUCUCUGCCAGUUACUCACUGUGUGGCUCUAUUUAUCUGCAAAAUGAAACUGUUGUGAUUUAAAAAAUGUCUCAUGUUCAAUAAACCUGUGUUAUUAUUAGUGUA